CUGGGUUGGAUUUGGAUAAAAUAUUUUUUCUUGUAAUAAAAAGCAGCUGUAGCAACCUCCCAUUGACGCAAAGCCAAGCCAUUUUCUCAGGGCCGAGGCUGUGUCCUCUCCACGAAGAAAAUGUUCCAGAUUUCGGUCGAGAUCGACCGCAGCUGAAGAGAGUUAGAUUGGAUAGUGAAAAUAAUGAUUUUGGAGAGUUUUGGAAUCGGGAACUAUGCUCGCUCGAGAGAAUCUCCUCUUCGAACGAUAUAUAAGAGGAGGCAGACGGAGGACCUCGAAGAGCACCCAAGCCCGCAGUAGAGAAGCCCUUGUCCUACUCCGUUUAGAGCAGGCUCCUCUCCUUCGAAUCCCUUUGAGUGUAGAUAUUGCUACUCUUUAGCAGUCAAGGACACUUCUAUAUAGGGUUUCAUGCUGGCCUUCAAAAAGCAAUAGAUCUUCCAACAGAUAUUGGUGGGUUCCAAUGGAAGUGCAAUCCUUUGAGCCAAAUACAUUUUUCCUCAAGGAGGAUGUCUCUAUUUCUCGUGCAAAAAGCAAUGCACAAUCUGAAACCAAAGCUCCUAGCAACAGAGUCGGUGAUUCUCAUUUGCCUGUAGACUCUUAUGGAAUCGAUAAGGUGGCAAGCCAAGAGGUUCCAAUGAUCUGGCACACGCAUAUGAAAGUACAAUUAGGGAGAAAUUUCUGACCAAACCCACUAGCAAUGGAUCGGAUGGAACAGAUGAUAACUGCACCAUUGCAGAAAGAAAUUCUUUGGCUGACUUAUCUGCUAAUCAGAGUGAAGGAGGUAUUGUCGCAACUGAAUGUGAAGAUGUUUCUAGUGGUAAUGUUGUGAAUUUAGUAGAAAAAGUUCUACAAACUCAUGGUUCUCAUUAUUCAACUUAUACAUUUCAACCAUUGAAAACUUCGAAAGAGGCAAUCAUUGUUUUAAGAAAUCCAAGUUCUGGUCUUAACUUCGACUGGAACAUGGAUCUUUUAAGUUCAACUGAUUGCACACUUGGACGGUGCCAACAAGAAACAGACUCCUUAUGUGCAGUCAUUGAAUCCUCAGGCGAAAUUUCUGCUUCCGAGGAUUGUAAUGUUCAUGAUAAUAGUACAAAAUUACAUGACAAGCUUGUUCA
Non-coding RNA from Phoenix dactylifera (date palm), 1115 nucleotides. The record is from RefSeq and is a predicted model, not a curated record. Lineage: Eukaryota; Viridiplantae; Streptophyta; Magnoliopsida; Arecales; Arecaceae.